CAAAAGGUACUUCUGUAACUCGCAGCCCGGUCAUAACGAAGACGGGGUGGCUGAAAUGCCAAUGA
Non-coding RNA from Faecalibacterium prausnitzii, 65 nucleotides. Lineage: Bacteria; Bacillati; Bacillota; Clostridia; Eubacteriales; Oscillospiraceae. The record is from Rfam.